Mastomys coucha (southern multimammate mouse) is the source of this 757-nucleotide long non-coding RNA. RefSeq lists it as uncharacterized. Lineage: Eukaryota; Metazoa; Chordata; Mammalia; Rodentia; Muridae. The transcript is spliced from 6 exons. The record is from RefSeq and is a predicted model, not a curated record.
CUCUGGGGCCAAAAUGAGCUGUUGUUAGAUUACUGCUUUCCUUAUACAGCACGGGAGAUGGAAAGUUGUUUAGAAAAUGGCAACAGACAAGUGGGAGAACUUCAAAAUAAGUUUGUGAGACAAGAAACAUUGCCAGCCAAUGCUGAAAAGGAAUAUAAAAUGGAUCAUCGAGGGAGAAGAAGAUAGCUAAUCACAGCUCUCCUACCACAGCAGCAGGAUCUCUUACAGGUUUCAUUAAACACAUAAAUCAAAAGUGUCCUCAUACAGGAUAGAACAAGAUCAAGAUUCAAGUACACUGCUAUUUUACAAGACAAUGGGAAAAUAAUUGGAACUCCAACUGGUUAGUUGAUACAAUGUUCCCAAAUUAGAAAGUUGCAGCUUUAGAAUAGUCUUGAUGAAGGAAUGCUAUGUUCAACAGGGGCCCAUGAAGACGGUAUGAUAGGAUGCAUUUUAUGCACUCCUCACACCAAGGAUUCUGGAAAGAGUUGAGGUAUUCCAGAUUCAUGAGAUGAUUUGGUAGGAAUUUGCAAAAAUGAAAACAAAUAGAUAUCAAGAAAAGAAGAUCAAGUUUUGAGAGGAAAUAAGGACCUUGGAAUGGAAUAACUGCCAUUCAUGUGAUCUUCUAUCUGGAGAAAGGAAUAUGUGGAAUUGUUUUUAUUUGAUGAUGACAUGAUAUGUAAAUUCCCCAAGCUCUACCAAACCCAAUGAUAUAAGAAUUAAUGAAUGAACUCAAUAAAGUGCAGGAUAUAAAAAUCAA